GAUCUGGCUCAGGACGAACGCUGGCGGCGUGCCUAAUACAUGCAAGUCGAGCGGACNUCUUCGGAGGUCAGCGGCGGACGGGUGAGUAACACGUGGNCAACCUGCCUGUAAGACUGGGAUAACUCCGGGAAACCGGAGCNAAUACCGGAUACUAUGUCAAACCGCAUGGUUUGACAUUCAAAGACGGUUUCGGCUGUCACUUACAGAUGGGCCCGCGGCGCAUUAGCUAGUUGGUGAGGUAAUGGCUCACCAAGGCGACGAUGCGUAGCCGACCUGAGAGGGUGAUCGGCCACACUGGGACUGAGACACGGCCCAGACUCCUACGGGAGGCAGCAGUAGGGAAUCUUCCGCAAUGGACGAAAGUCUGACGGAGCAACGCCGCGUGAGUGAUGAAGGUUUUCGGAUCGUAAAACUCUGUUGUCAGGGAAGAACAAGUGCCGGAGUAACUGCCGGCGCCUUGACGGUACCUGACCAGAAAGCCACGGCUAACUACGUGCCAGCAGCCGCGGUAAUAC
Molecule: ribosomal RNA, 515 nt
Filed under: uncultured marine bacterium
Lineage: Bacteria
Description: bacterial SSU rRNA
Rfam family: Bacterial small subunit ribosomal RNA
Source: RNAcentral